This is a long non-coding RNA of Colletes gigas, 785 nucleotides long. RefSeq lists it as uncharacterized. The transcript is spliced from 3 exons. The record is from RefSeq and is a predicted model, not a curated record. Lineage: Eukaryota; Metazoa; Arthropoda; Insecta; Hymenoptera; Colletidae.
CCUGAUGAAGUGUGAGAAAAACGAAGUUAAAAUGAUAGACUGGGAUCAAAUAGAGUGUACGAUACUAAAAUCAAAAAGAAAUUUGUUAUUAAAAAAAGAAAUUUCAAGAUUCUUAAUAGAAUAGAAACUAUGAACUCAAUACUAGAUCAGUCUCCUCGCCGGUUUCGAGAUGCACAGUUUUUGUCUUAAAGGUCUAGCUAAAGCUAAAAUUCAGUUUGAUAGCUAUAUGGAAGCAAACAAGCUACUCAAUUCUGGCAAGUUAAAGGAUCUAGGCAUCUCUGUGUAUGUUCCCAGAUGUAAAUUAAAGAGAAAAGAAGCGUUGAAAGGUUCAACAAAGAAUUUGACACUGACGACCUAUUAAAUCAAGCAAAGCCACCCUACAAAAUUUUAUAUAUAAAAAAAGCUCAAUAGGAAGAUCUUUGAUCCUCUCAUUAAGUUACAUACUUGGGUUCAGAGUAACACAAUAUUCACCAUGUUUGAAAGUUCGACUCUCCCGCAGAAAAUACAAUUAUAUAGUUUGCUACAUCAGGAAAUUACACCGUACAUCAAAUCAGUCAAGGUUAACCAUUCAUGACCAAAUUCAUUCCUGCAAAGUAACAUGUCUCCUGCUCUCACCAACAAAAAUAAUGGCUUUUGUAUGGAUCACAUUCAAAAGAGGGACCUUAACAUCUUCUUCUGGAAGUGUAGAUAGACCCUAACAACAACAGAGGAAAUGCUUGAAUAUGCUCUACAUUAUAAGGUAACAAUUUAUGUAGAAACUUAAGCCAACUUCUUCUUUUUCUCUU